RNAcentral lists this ribosomal RNA (375 nucleotides) under uncultured bacterium. RNAcentral describes it as "bacterial SSU rRNA". It matches the Rfam family "Bacterial small subunit ribosomal RNA", at positions 30 to 416 of the family's 1533-position model. The record is from RNAcentral.
AUUGAACGCUGGCGGCAGGCUUAACACAUGCAAGUCGAGCGGAGACUUCGGUCUUAGCGGCGAACGGGUGAGUAAUACCUAGGAAUCUGCCUAUUAGUGGGGGAUAACGAAUCGAAAGGUUCGCUAAUACCGCAUACGUCCUACGGGAGAAAGGGGGGAGUCUUCGGACCUCUCGCUAAUAGAUGAGCCUAGGCCGGAUUAGCUAGUUGGUAGGGUAAAGGCCUACCAAGGCGACGAUCUGUAGCUGGUCUGAGAGGAUGGCCAGCCACACUGGAACUGAGACACGGUCCAGACUCCUACGGGAGGCAGCAGUGGGGAAUAUUGGACAAUGGGGGCGAACCCUGAUCCAGCCAUGCCGCGUGUGUGAAGAAGGCC